GUCGAACGAGAGACCUUCGGGUCUCUAGUGGCGAACGGGUGAGUAACACGUACGGAACCUGCCCGCGCACCGGGAAUACGCUCUGGAAACGGAGAACAAAUCCCGAUGUACAGGAAGGAGGCAUCUUCUUUCUGUGAAACAUCCUUUCGGGGAUGGGGCGCGGAUGGACCUGCGGUGCAUUAGUUUGUUGGCGGGGUAAAGGCCCACCAAGACGAUGAUGCAUAGCCGGCCUGAGAGGGCGGACGGCCACAUUGGGACUGAGACACGGCCCAGACUCCUGCGGGAGGCAGCAGUAGGGAAUUUUCGUCAAUGGGCGCAAGCCUGAACGAGCGAUGCCGCGUGAGUGAAGAAGGCCUUCGGGUCGUAAAGCUCUGUUGCGGGGGAAAAAAGGCAGCAUCAGGAAAUGGGUGCUGACUGAUGGUGCCCCGCCAGAAAGUCACGGCUAACUACGUGCCAGCAGCCGCGGUAAUACGUAGGUGGCGAGCGUUAUCCGGAAUGAUUGGGCGUAAAGGGUGCGCAGGCGGUCCUGCAAGUCUGGAGUGAAACGCAUGAGCUCAACUCAUGCAUGGCUUUGGAAACUGGAGGACUGGAGAGCAGGAGAGGGCGGUGGAACUCCAUGUGUAGCGGUAAAAUGCGUAGAUAUAUGGAAGAACACCAGUGGCGAAGGCGGCCGCCUGGCCUGUUGCUGACGCUGAGGCACGAAAGCGUGGGGAGCAAAUAGGAUUAGAUACCCUAGUA
This 738-nucleotide ribosomal RNA is filed under the name uncultured bacterium. RNAcentral's name for it is "bacterial SSU rRNA". It matches the Rfam family "Bacterial small subunit ribosomal RNA", at positions 61 to 792 of the family's 1533-position model. The record is from RNAcentral.